AACUUUCAAACAAUGGAUCUCUUGGCUCUCGCAUCGAUGAAGAACGCAGCGAAAUGCGAUAAGUAAUAUGAAUUGCAGAAUUCCGUGAAUCAUCAAAUUUUUGAACGCAAAUUGCACUUCUUGGUAUUCCGAGGAGUACACAUGCUUGAGGGUCAGUU
This 158-nucleotide ribosomal RNA is filed under the name Gigaspora margarita. RNAcentral's name for it is "5.8S ribosomal RNA". It matches the Rfam family "5.8S ribosomal RNA". Rfam says of the family: 5.8S ribosomal RNA (5.8S rRNA) is a component of the large subunit of the eukaryotic ribosome. It is transcribed by RNA polymerase I as part of the 45S precursor that also contains 18S and 28S rRNA. The record is from RNAcentral. Lineage: Eukaryota; Fungi; Glomeromycota; Glomeromycetes; Diversisporales; Gigasporaceae.